GUCCACGCCCUAACGAUGUCAACUGGUUGUUGGGUGCAUUAGUACUCAGUAACGAAGCUAACGCGUGAAGUUGACCGCCUGGGAGUACGGCCGCAAGGUUGAACUCAAAGGAAUUGACGGGACCCGCACAAGCGGUGGAUGAUGUGGUUUAAUUCGAUGCAACGCGAAACCUUACCUACCUUUGACAUGUACGGAACUCGCCAGAGAUGGCUUGGUGCUCGAAAGAGAACCGUAACACAGGUGCUGCAUGGCUGUCGU
This 258-nucleotide ribosomal RNA is filed under the name uncultured bacterium. RNAcentral describes it as "partial 16S ribosomal RNA". It matches the Rfam family "Bacterial small subunit ribosomal RNA", at positions 793 to 1055 of the family's 1533-position model. The record is from RNAcentral.